RNAcentral lists this ribosomal RNA (468 nucleotides) under uncultured bacterium. Its description in RNAcentral is "partial 16S ribosomal RNA". It matches the Rfam family "Bacterial small subunit ribosomal RNA", at positions 28 to 507 of the family's 1533-position model. The record is from RNAcentral.
GACGAACGCUGGCGGCGUGCUUAACACAUGCAAGUCGAACGGAAAGACCCUGCUUUUGUGGGGUUCUCGAUUGGCGAACGCGUGCGUAUCACGUGUGUAACCUGCCCUUGUCUUUGGGAUAACAUCAGGAAACUGGGGCUAAUAUCGGAUCGGAUCUCAUGUUGCGUGGUGGGGGUUGGAAAGUUUCGGCGGUUGGGGAUGGACUCGCGGGUUAUGGGCUUGUUGGUGGGGUUGUUGAUGACCCAGGGUUUGAAGGGUAGUCCGCCUGAGAGGGUGAACGGCGACAAUGGGACUACGAGACGGCCCAGAGUCCUACGUGAGGCAACAGUGGGGAGUAUGGCACAGUGGGCGGGAGCCUGAGGCAGCGGCGCCGCGUGCGGGAUGACGGCCUUCGGGGUGUAAACCGCUUUCGCCUGUGACGAAGCGUGAGUGACGGUAAUGAAUAAAGAAGCACCGGCUAACUACGUG